Molecule: microRNA precursor, 89 nt
Filed under: Melampsora larici-populina 98AG31
Lineage: Eukaryota; Fungi; Basidiomycota; Pucciniomycetes; Pucciniales; Melampsoraceae
Description: microRNA MIR807
Source: RNAcentral
UUUCACAUAUAUGUGAGCUUGAUUCACAUAGAUGUGAAUCAAGUGAAUUUGAUUCACUUGUUGUGAAUCAAGGUCACAUAUAUGUGAAA